AAGUCGUAACAAGGUUUCCGUAGGUGAACCUGCGGAAGGAUCAUUAAUACGUAUCUAACGUAUCAAAACCCAAUCGUGAAUUGUUAGCCUUCUGGUUGCGAGUGUAAUGUUGCAAGAAAAGUUCAGAAAGCGUGGGCUUUUGCUUCAAAAGCCUGAACAAAAUGUAUUGCAUCAUUUAGACGUUUUAGGAUGUCUGGCUCAUGAUCAGAAGUGUAUUUUAUAUAAUAAAACUAAACAUUUUCCCAUGCUUUUUAGUUUUAUUAUUUUUUCUAACUUAAAAACCCCAAGUACUAAUUUAAAGAACUAAAUCGUUUUUUAUCGCGAUUUUCUAGUUGUGAUAAAAAUCCAAAACCGAAAAGAACAACUCUUAACAACGGAUAUCUUGGUUCUC
RNAcentral lists this unclassified non-coding RNA (391 nucleotides) under fungal sp. Its description in RNAcentral is "partial internal transcribed spacer region". The stretch from base 1 to 46 matches the Rfam family "Eukaryotic small subunit ribosomal RNA", at positions 1786 to 1831 of the family's 1831-position model. Lineage: Eukaryota; Fungi. The record is from RNAcentral.